CUACGGGCCGCUGCAGUCGAGAAUAUUCCACAAUGGGCGAAAGCCUGAUGGAGCGACGCCGCGUGCGGGAUGAAGGCCCUUGGGUUGUAAACCGCUUUUCUAUAGGAAGAAUUUUCUGACGGUACUAUAGGAAUAAGAGGUUGCUAACUCUGUGCCAGCAGCAGCGGUAAUACAGAGACCUCGAGCGUUAUCCGGAUUUAUUGGGCGUAAAGCGCAUGUAGGCGGAUAUAUUAGUCAGAUGUCAAAUCUCCGAGCUCAACUCGGAGCCUGCAUUUGAAACGGUAUAUCUAGAGGAAGGGAGAGAUCAAUGGAACGUAUGGUGUAGCAGUGAAAUGCGUUGAUAUCAUACGGAACACCAAAGGCGAAGGCAUUUGAUUGGCCCUUUUCUGACGCUGAGAUGCGAAAGCGUGGGUAGCGAAUGGGAUUAGAUACCCGCGUAGUC
RNAcentral lists this ribosomal RNA (442 nucleotides) under uncultured bacterium. RNAcentral's name for it is "partial 16S ribosomal RNA". It matches the Rfam family "Bacterial small subunit ribosomal RNA", at positions 339 to 795 of the family's 1533-position model. The record is from RNAcentral.